Molecule: unclassified non-coding RNA, 428 nt
Filed under: Hevea brasiliensis (rubber tree)
Lineage: Eukaryota; Viridiplantae; Streptophyta; Magnoliopsida; Malpighiales; Euphorbiaceae
Source: RNAcentral
GCAACUGGAAAUGCAACGGGACCAGCGAGGAGAUUAAGAAGAUCAUUGCUACUCUGAAUUCGGCUGAGGUCCCGUCGGGUGAUGUUGUUGAGGUUGUGGUAAGCCCACCGUAUGUGUUUCUUCCUCUGGUCCAAGAUUCCCUGCGUUCUGAUUUUCAUGUUGCUGCACAAAAUUGCUGGAUGAAGAAAGGAGGUGCCUUCACUGGUGAAAUCAGUGCUGAAAUGCUUGUAAACCUUGGUAUUCCCUGGGUCAUUCUUGGUCACUCUGAACGAAGGGCUUUGCUAGGCGAAUCAAAUGAGUUUGUUGGAGAGAAAGUUGCAUAUGCACUCUCUCGUGGUCUGAAGGUGAUUGCUUGUGUUGGUGAGACCCUUGAACAACGAGAAUCAGGAUCAACUAUGGAUGUAGUUGCUGCACAAACAAAAGCAAUA